UGAAAAUUUAAAGUUUUGACCUUUUUGCAUUGUUUCCAUGGUAACUACAGAUAUUUUGGAAAUUCCAACGCCAAAUUCCACAUCUUCCAAUGUUGCUCAUCGUUACUGUGAGGUUUCAUGAAGUUUGGAGCAUUUUGAUAUUUUUGAAAUUUUUGAUGUAGUUUCCAUGGCAACAUAGUAGGUCCAAUGAGUGCCAAAAUCAUUCAACACCUGUAUAUAGUGGGCACCUACAUUGUAUUAAAAUAUGAUGAUUCUGAGUGUAGGCAUAUUCAAACAGUUCACCAAAACAAAAAACAGAAAUUUUUCACAUUUGUUUCGUUUCCAUGGUAACGGCAGCCAUUUUUUACCAUUCCAAUGUCUCUUGCACAACUUCACAUGGCGGUUCAUAUUAUGGUAUAGUUCCAUCAACAUGGGUCUGACCAAUCCUGAGAAAUAGCAUGGACAAAAUGUGUGGAAGAAUAAAAAUAAAAAUAAGAAAAAAAGAACGAACAAUAACAAUAUGUCACCCCAACUCCGUUGAGGGUGCCAUAAUAAUAAGAAAAAAAAAAAGAAACGUAGAAUAACAAUACGUCACCCCAACUCCGUUGAGGGUGCCAUAAAAAAAGAACGUAGAAUAACAAUAUGUCACCCCAACUCCGUUGAGGGUGCCAUAAUAAAAAUAA
Molecule: long non-coding RNA, 662 nt
Filed under: Mytilus galloprovincialis (Mediterranean mussel)
Lineage: Eukaryota; Metazoa; Mollusca; Bivalvia; Mytilida; Mytilidae
Source: RNAcentral